Gallus gallus (chicken) is the source of this 986-nucleotide long non-coding RNA. Lineage: Eukaryota; Metazoa; Chordata; Aves; Galliformes; Phasianidae. The record is from Ensembl.
AACGUCACUUUAUCGCUGAUUACUUCUCUUAACCGCCGGAGCGGUGACUGAUGCUCCGGUCCCCCGUCCGCCCAGCUUUCCCCGGGAGUUUUUUUCGGGAGCCGCAGACUUUGCACACUUUCGGAUCAGCAAAACUGCUCCAGACACCCAAAGCGACUGGGCCGUUCCCAUCAUCCGCAACCUGUUGUGGCUGCAGAGCUAACGAAGAUGGGCUUCUGAAGCCCUUCCUGAGAAGGGCAGGAGUGAGGAGAAGAUGAAGGAUGGGCUUCCUGCAUUGCCCAGCUGCAUUACAGCGUGCCAAUUUUGACUAUUUUAAGGUCAACAAUGAAGAUUAGGGUUGAAUUCCAUAACAAAUAUGGGGAAAGGUGAAGGAUGUGGGAUAUUUGUGGGGCUGCUAGUUCAGGUGCUUGGCUGGUGGGAGUUGGAGCCUAAAGCCUGGUUGGCCUUUCAGAACAUGUCUUUGCAUAAAAACUCAUUCUGGACAGUGAAUGCUGUGCAGUGUUACCCAGGGGAGCAGCCCCACGAUGAUGAGCUGUGGAUGCUGGUGACGUUGGCUGUGCUCCACUUUGCACUUGGCUGUUCCAGGGGACUGGCAGGUGGGGAUGAAGAAGGAGAAUGGAGGAGGGAUUCCUGCUCUUUGAUUCAACUUGAGUUUUCGUGGAAGCCCUCAAAAGAUUGUGAGUUUUCUGAAAUGGAAGGGGUGGGGAAAGAAAUCUCAACAACUUUUUUAGGACUGGAAAAUCUUUCCUGCCCAGCUCUUUCCAUGCUUAUGCACAGAAUUUUUUUUCCUUUUGUUUAUAUUUUUCUUUAAUGACUUAAGCUCCUAAAAUGUUUUAUUUCAUAUUCAAAGUGACAUUUUAACACAUAUUUGCCUGACAAUAUGACACACAUAUUGGUUUUAAUGAGGGCCUCACAUAUAUAUAUGUGCGUGUGUGUGUGUAUGUAUAUAAAAUGCGACUGCUGAAUAAAAUACAAAAUAUUUUCAC